CGGUAAACAGAAGAAACUGAAGCUUAGAGAUCUUAAAUAGCAAAUCCUAGUUUGCUUAGCAAGUCAGUGGGGGGAGGUAGGAGACUAGUGUCUGACUCUGAAGCCCACACCCUCUUCACUGCACAUAUGUCUCCCUGAUCCUGAAAGGGUAGUUUACGACCAUGUCCUUAAGGGCCUGAAUGUUGCACUAAGGAGCUUGGGCUUUAUUCUCUAAUGAAUAUAAGUACCCACAAUGCUCCUCUGCUCUAAAGUUAAGAGCAUCAUCUAGGGAUUGCCGGGCAGAAGGCAAAUCCCACUGGUUUCCUUCUACGCACACAUAUAUCCCCUCCAAGGGUGUCCAGUGAGCCAAUCAACCACUUUUUUCACUUUUAUGCAAACACAGCAGCUGGAUUAGCUGCACCUGCAGCCUCUGCUGUGUCACACAUGAUAAAAGGAUCAAAGUCUAGAACAUGACUUCAGACUAUAAUUUAAGAUAAUUAAGAUUUUUAACCUAAAUUACAUUUUAACAUUUCAUAACAGAGCUGUCAAGAUUCUAUCUAUCAAAACUCUAUCAAGCAAACAAAAGAGGAUAAUUAUAUUUUCAGACACAUGCAGUCAUCACUCUGCUUAAGUUCUCAUAAAAAAGACUUCUGUCUUCUUUCACAUUCUCAUUUUCAAUUGCUCUUCCUCUUCCCAG
RNAcentral lists this long non-coding RNA (676 nucleotides) under Homo sapiens (human). RNAcentral's name for it is "HSALNT0210886". The record is from RNAcentral. Lineage: Eukaryota; Metazoa; Chordata; Mammalia; Primates; Hominidae.